UGGGGAAUAUUGCACAAUGGGCGAAAGCCUGAUGCAGCAACGCCGCGUGAGUGAUGAAGGCCUUCGGGUUGUAAAGCUCUGUCUUCUGGGACGAUAAUGACGGUACCAGAGGAGGAAGCCACGGCUAACUACGUGCCAGCAGCCGCGGUAAUACGUAGGUGGCAAGCGUUGUCCGGAUUUACUGGGCGUAAAGGAUGCGUAGGCGGAUAUUUAAGUGAGAUGUGAAAUUCCCGGGCUUAACUUGGGAGCUGCAUUUCAAACUGGGUAUCUAGAGUGUGGGAGAGGACAGUGGAAUUCCUAGUGUAGCGGUGAAAUGCGUAGAGAUUAGGAAGAACCCCAGUGGCGAAGGCGACUUUCUGGACCAUAACUGACGCUGAGGCAUGAAAGCGUGGGGAGCAAACA
This 402-nucleotide ribosomal RNA is filed under the name uncultured bacterium. Its description in RNAcentral is "bacterial SSU rRNA". It matches the Rfam family "Bacterial small subunit ribosomal RNA", at positions 355 to 774 of the family's 1533-position model. The record is from RNAcentral.